GAUGAACGCUGGCUUCGUGCCUAAUACAUGCAAGUCGAGCGAACGGACGAGAAGCUUGCUUCUCUGAUGUUAGCGGCGGACGGGUGAGUAACACGUGGAUAACCUACCUAUAAGACUGGGAUAACUUCGGGAAACCGGAGCUAAUACCGGAUAAUAUUUUGAACCGCAUGGUUCAAAAGUGAAAGACGGUCUUGCUGCCACUUAUAGAUGGAUCCGCGCUGCAUUAGCUAGUUGGUAAGGUAACGGCUUACCAAGGCAACGAUGCAUAGCCGACCUGAGAGGGUGAUCGGCCACACUGGAACUGAGACACGGUCCAGACUCCUACGGGAGGCAGCAGUAGGGAAUCUUCCGCAAUGGGCGAAAGCCUGACGGAGCAACGCCGCGUGAGUGAUGAAGGUCUUCGGAUCGUAAAACUCUGUUAUUAGGGAAGAACAUAUGUGUAAGUAACUGUGCACAUCUUGACGGUACCUAAUCAGAAAGCCACGGCUAACUACGUGCCAGCAGCCGCGGUAAUACGUAGGUGGCAAGCGUUAUCCGGAAUUAUUGGGCGUAAAGCGCGCGUCAGCGGUUUUUUAGUCUGAUGUGAAAGCCCACGGCUCAACCGUGGAGGGUCAUUGGAAACUGGAAAACUUGAGUGCAGAAGAGGAAAGUGGAAUUCCAUGUGUAGCGGUGAAAUGCGCAGAGAUAUGGAGGAACACCAGUGGCGAAGGCGACUUUCUGGUCUGUAACUGACGCUGAUGUGCGAAAGCGUGGGGAUCAAACAGGAUUAGAUACCCUGGUAGUCCACGCCGUAAACGAUGAGUGCUAAGUGUUAGGGGGUUUCCGCCCCUUAGUGCUGCAGCUAACGCAUUAAGCACUCCGCCUGGGGAGUACGACCGCAAGGUUGAAACUCAAAGGAAUUGACGGGGACCCGCACAAGCGGUGGAGCAUGUGGUUUAAUUCGAAGCAACGCGAAGAACCUUACCAAAUCUUGACAUCCUUUGACAACUCUAGAGAUAGAGCCUUCCCCUUCGGGGGACAAAGUGACAGGUGGUGCAUGGUUGUCGUCAGCUCGUGUCGUGAGAUGUUGGGUUAAGUCCCGCAACGAGCGCAACCCUUAAGCUUAGUUGCCAUCAUUAAGUUGGGCACUCUAAGUUGACUGCCGGUGACAAACCGGAGGAAGGUGGGGAUGACGUCAAAUCAUCAUGCCCCUUAUGAUUUGGGCUACACACGUGCUACAAUGGACAAUACAAAGGGCAGCGAAACCGCGAGGUCAAGCAAAUCCCAUAAAGUUGUUCUCAGUUCGGAUUGUAGUCUGCAACUCGACUACAUGAAGCUGGAAUCGCUAGUAAUCGUAGAUCAGCAUGCUACGGUGAAUACGUUCCCGGGUCU
This 1371-nucleotide ribosomal RNA is filed under the name uncultured bacterium. RNAcentral's name for it is "bacterial SSU rRNA". It matches the Rfam family "Bacterial small subunit ribosomal RNA", at positions 28 to 1381 of the family's 1533-position model. The record is from RNAcentral.